GUCCUGGGGCAGGCGGAGCUCCCCCGCAGAGAGAGCAGCAGUCCUGCCGAGGAAUCGAGCACGUCGCCCUGCUAGAAGCCAGCAGCUGCACUCGGGAGCGGCGCUGAAGGAGUUAACCGGCGGCGCGCCCCCGGGGUCCGAGCUCCCCCGAACGACGAGCUGGGGGCGCGCCCCCCCCCCACUAUUAAAUCCAGCGCGUUAUUAUUUAUCGCACAGCAGCUGUAGCGCAACAGCGCAGGAGGGGGACAGGCUGGCCGCGGCGCAGAGCCAGGAGGCAGGGACACAGGCCGGGACCGAGGCGCCAUGCCGGGUCUGGGGAGGGCCCAGUCCAGUGCCCGUGGGGCAGGCAGACACCAGGGGGCCGCCGAGCCACUCGCUGCCUCCAGCCCCGCUCCGAAGGUGCUUCGGCGGCACCAGGUCUCGACAGGCAGCCCGGUGAGGGACAGCGCCUCCUGCAGGAGAGGACAGCCCUGGUCACAGCUGCUCCCGUCACAGGGAGAAACGGGCCUGGCGCCGCCGGACCACGGAGAAACGGGCCUGGCGCUGCCGGACCAGGGAGAAACGGGCCUGGCGCCGCCGGACCAGGGAUCCAGUUUUCGGUCCGCUGUGAGACUGGCCUGUCCCCCCCCAACUUGCACUUCGGGGUUCCUGGAUGCAGGAACACCAGCUGUAAGCCUGACUGGUCAAGAUCUCGCUGAGCGCCAUCUUACAUUCAACCCCUCUUGGCCAAUCCGGCGGCGCUCGCGAGCUCUCGCGAGGCAGGCUCGAGCAAUUACCGCGAGACACGACCGCGCAGCCCGUCUCGCCUUAAAGGGGACACGCGCCCUCCCUUUCUGCCGGGCGGGCCGCCGCCGCGUCUCCGGGGCAACCGCCGCGACCCGCGCCUGAUGGGAACAGGGAAGAGUCACCUUCGAUACGUGACCGGGGCCACAGAAAUUCCAGUAGGGCCGUAUGGACUGGGAGAGACCGGGAGGCAGUGUGGGAUUGAGAGACAGGGAAGCUAAGGGAGGCAGAGGGAGUCCGGGUGGGACAGUGGUUAGAGCUGAGAGAGACAAACAUUCUUCCACAAAUUUACAAACCUAAUCCCAGAAUUCCCACACCUGCCAGAAUCACAACGGGUCCCAAUCCUACUGGGAGAGGGACAAGGGAACUCAGCUGAACUGGCAGCCCAGUAUGCGAUCUCCUAUCCCAGCCUGAGGAACAGUGAGCCUGCCUGCCAAUAAUGCUCCAUAUGUUUGUAUGUAAAUGUAUUAUGACGUGUUUAUAUUGCAAAAGUCUGUAGAUGUUAUGUAAUUGUAUAUGUUUUGGCAACACUGAUUUGUCAUGCCAAUAAAGCUUCUUGAAUUGAAUUGAGAGAGGCAGUGUGGGGCAGUGGGCAGAGCUGAGAGAGAGGGAGGCAGUGUGGGACAGUGGGUAGAGCUGAGAGAGAGAGGGAGGGAGGCAGUGUGGGACAGUGAGUAGAGCUGAGAGAGAGGGAGGCAGUGUGGGACAGUGGGUAGAGCUGAGAGAGAGGGAGGCAGUGUGGGACAGUGGGUAGAGCUGAGAGAGAGGGAGGCAGUGUGGGGCAGUGGGUAGAGCUGAGAGAGAG
This is a long non-coding RNA of Lepisosteus oculatus (spotted gar), 1588 nucleotides long. The record is from Ensembl. Lineage: Eukaryota; Metazoa; Chordata; Actinopteri; Semionotiformes; Lepisosteidae.